UCCCUUGCAGUCCAGUGGUUAGGACUUGGAGCUUUCACUUCCAAAAGCCUGGGUUCAAAUCCUGGUCAGGGAA
This is a non-coding RNA of Bos taurus (domestic cattle), 73 nucleotides long. NCBI's taxonomy places the organism in Eukaryota, Metazoa, Chordata, Mammalia, Artiodactyla, Bovidae. The record is from Rfam.